UACGUAGGGGGCGAGCGUUAUUCGGAUUUACUGGGCGUAAAGCGCGUGUAGGCGGCUGGUUAAGCGUGAUGUGAAAUCUCCGGGCUCAACCCGGAAACUGCAUUGCGAACUGGCCUGGCUGGAGUGCAGGAGAGGGUAGUGGAAUUCCCGGUGCAGCGGUGAAAUGCGUAGAUAUCGGGAGGAACACCAGUGGCGAAGGCGACUACCUGGCCUGUAACUGACGCUGAGACGCGAAAGCGUGGGGAGCAAACCGG
This 254-nucleotide ribosomal RNA is filed under the name uncultured bacterium. RNAcentral describes it as "partial 16S ribosomal RNA". It matches the Rfam family "Bacterial small subunit ribosomal RNA", at positions 524 to 776 of the family's 1533-position model. The record is from RNAcentral.